This 465-nucleotide ribosomal RNA is filed under the name Vreelandella stevensii. RNAcentral describes it as "partial 16S ribosomal RNA". It matches the Rfam family "Bacterial small subunit ribosomal RNA", at positions 338 to 795 of the family's 1533-position model. The record is from RNAcentral. Lineage: Bacteria; Pseudomonadati; Pseudomonadota; Gammaproteobacteria; Oceanospirillales; Halomonadaceae.
CCUACGGGAGGCUGCAGUGGGGAAUAUUGGACAAUGGGCGAAAGCCUGAUCCAGCCAUGCCGCGUGUGUGAAGAAGGCCUUCGGGUUGUAAAGCACUUUCAGUGGGGAAGAAAGCCUUGGGGCUAAUACCCUCGAGGAAGGACAUCACCCACAGAAGAAGCACCGGCUAACUCCGUGCCAGCAGCCGCGGUAAUACGGAGGGUGCGAGCGUUAAUCGGAAUUACUGGGCGUAAGGCGCGCGUAGGCGGUCUGAUAAGCCGGUUGUGAAAGCCCCGGGCUCAACCUGGGAACGGCAUCCGGAACUGUCAGGCUAGAGUGCAGGAGAGGAAGGUAGAAUUCCCGGUGUAGCGGUGAAAUGCGUAGAGAUCGGGAGGAAUACCAGUGGCGAAGGCGGCCUUCUGGACUGACACUGACGCUGAGGUGCGAAAGCGUGGGUAGCAAACAGGAUUAGAUACCCCUGUAGUC